AGGAGCUCUGACUGCAGCAGGUCGAUGGCGACUGGCACUCCUAACCCUCCAUCCUUAACAAGGCGUUUUGCAAAAGGAGGGGAGAUUUGCUGUUUUCCAGCCACCUAAGAUCAAACCUUAAGGAGCCCAAGGUACACCAGCAUGAAGAGGAUCACCUGAGUUACCUGGAGAUAUUGAGAUAUGCCCACCCCUACCACCAUGUGCCUGCUGUGUAAAGCUCAAUGGGCCACUACCAGGACCAUCCCAGUCCACUGUCUUCCAGGAAGCUCUGUACAACCAUCAGAAUCAUUCUGACCUGGCCACUGGAGUGUGUUCUUCAUUCUCCUGCACCACCCUCGUGUAUACCACUUUGGUUCUGACAUUGCACUGUUUCAGAAUGCUGUCAAGGUGGGUCUCAUGAGGAAUGGUAUCCAGGUCAGGGACAAACAAGGAGAGGCCAAGGACAGCCAUGAGCAAGUUUCAGGAAGUUCCAUCACACAGCUGAGAAAUGGGAUAUGAUGUGGCCACAGUCUAAGCUGGACAAAGCGGAGUCUGAAAAAGGAACUUAUCUAACUGUAUUCUAUGGGUAUUUGCUCAGUGGAAAUUCAGAAGGCUGGAACUAACAGCAUGGGCCUUUUCCUCAAGUACCUCUGCACUUAAGAAAGGAUGCUUUCUACUGCUCUCAGCCCAAGUAUUCCCUCUAGUAUCAUUCAAUGGUGAAUAGCUCACCAAAUUGGCAAUGGCUAAGUUUGAACAAAAUGAAUAUAUUAGCAAUGACUGAAACCAAUAAAGACCAACAACUCA
This is a long non-coding RNA of Pan troglodytes (chimpanzee), 783 nucleotides long. RefSeq lists it as uncharacterized. The transcript is spliced from 2 exons. The record is from RefSeq and is a predicted model, not a curated record. NCBI's taxonomy places the organism in Eukaryota, Metazoa, Chordata, Mammalia, Primates, Hominidae.